CUUAGGAGGAGCACUGCACAACCACAGGGGUGCCAUUCGCAAAGAUGAUACCGUAAGUGGCAUCCCCGGGAGCUGCUGGUCCUCAGCUCUAUCAUGGCAACUGAGGCAGCAUUCAGCAUGAAAGUGACCAAGCUCCCUCUUCCCUUUGCGUUACUUCCAACCAAGAAGAGAGCCUCGUGUGACCCAGCCUUCACGUCCCCUACUGAAGCCACAACAAGGCAAGUAUACAAGGCACGUGUGUGUGUGUGUGUGUGUGUGUGUGUGUAUUCUGAAAGUUAAAAACCAGUAGACUGUGCCUGCAUUUUUGCAACUGUGUUAACAUAUGUCUGCACAGCCAUGUAGUGUACUAUACUUGCAAUUUCUUUUCUGUAGAGAUUUAUGUUUCCUGGAGAUUUCUUUCUUUUUUCUCUUGCAUGAUUUGUC
RNAcentral lists this long non-coding RNA (423 nucleotides) under Vulpes vulpes (red fox). RNAcentral's name for it is "lncRNA (ENSVVUG00000027056.1)". The record is from RNAcentral. Lineage: Eukaryota; Metazoa; Chordata; Mammalia; Carnivora; Canidae.